GAUGAACGCUAGCGACAGGCUUAACACAUGCAAGUCGAGGGGCAGCACAGGUAGCAAUACCGGGUGGCGACCGGCGCACGGGUGAGUAACGCGUAUGCAACCUACCUAUCAGAGGGGAAUAACCCGGCGAAAGUCGGACUAAUACCGCAUGUCGUUUCGGGAGGGCAUCCUCCUGAAAGAAAAGGAGCGAUCCGGUAUGAGAUGGGCCCGCAUCUGAUUAGCUAGUUGGUGAGAUAACAGCCCACCAAGGCGACGAUCAGUAGCCGACCUGAGAGGGUGAUCGGCCACAUUGGGACUGAGACACGGCCCAA
This 311-nucleotide ribosomal RNA is filed under the name uncultured bacterium. RNAcentral describes it as "bacterial SSU rRNA". It matches the Rfam family "Bacterial small subunit ribosomal RNA", at positions 28 to 334 of the family's 1533-position model. The record is from RNAcentral.